Molecule: ribosomal RNA, 253 nt
Filed under: uncultured bacterium
Lineage: Bacteria
Description: partial 16S ribosomal RNA
Rfam family: Bacterial small subunit ribosomal RNA
Source: RNAcentral
UACAGAGGGGGCAAGCGUUGUUCGGAAUUACUGGGCGUAAAGGGCGCGUAGGUGGCCUUCUAAGUUGAACGUGAAAUCCCUGGGCUCAACCCAGGAACUGCGUCCAAGACUGGGAGGCUUGAAUCCGGGAGAGGGAUGCGGAAUUCCAGGUGUAGCGGUGAAAUGCGUAGAUAUCUGGAGGAACACCGGUGGCGAAAGCGGCUCACUGGACCGUCACUGACGCUGAGGUGCGAAAGCUAGGGUAGCAAACGGG